UACGCAAAGGAUUAUGUCACCAGAAGUAGUACUGUACGUGAGCGACACCAUGCUUUGCAGCACAGCCACAUACAGUGCUCUGACCACCAAUGAAAGAGGAACCAAUUGCAGACUUUCAAUUUGCCCAACAGGAUGGCAAUAGCCUUUGGAGGGAUUUUACAUGCAUCUACAGAAGUACAUGUUGUCUCCCUCACCAGAUGGAAAUCUGUUAUCUUUGAGGGAUGCAGGUGGACCACCAGGGAGUCUGAUAGAAUAUCUUUAUACCACCAAGCUAUCCUUCAGGUAUGUCUGCUUUAUUGCCUAAAGAAGACUGGUCCACUAUUUCUAACUUGCAGGUGGACUCAAAGAAUAAACAUUUCUUAGUCACAGAAGGGAGGGAGGGAGUUGUUGCUAGCCUCUCGUUCCCAAUUUCCAACCAAUUAUAUAAUUCUCAUCCCCAUGAUGCUGCCAUCCCUAUAACGAAUUGCAUUAUUUUCCUUACCCAUCCUAUUUUAUUCUUUGUUCUAUGUUUAUAAAAAGGAGCUGUGCCUCCUCCUCUGGGUCAUUAGCCUAAUUGAGGUAGACAUUUGACCCACUUUAUUAACAGAUUUACACCCUGCUAACAAACUGAUAAAGCUCUGAAUUCUGUGUCUCAGUUUGUUGCUAUUUAGUCAUUUCAGUCAUGUCUGACUCUUCAUGACCUUAUUUGGGGAUUUCUUGGCAAAGAUACUGGAGAAGUUUGCCAUUUCCUUCUCCAGCUCAUUUUGCAGAUGAGGAAACUGAGGUAAACAGCAGUAAGUGACUUGCCCAGGAUCCUACAGCUAGUAAGUACCUGAGGUCUUCCCAACUCCAGGUCUGGCAUUGUAUCCACUGUGCCACCUAGCUACCUCAUAUCUCAGUUUACCUUUAUUAAAUUCUAUUGAGACAUUGGAUACAGCUUCCUAGUUGCUGCUGGCU
Monodelphis domestica (gray short-tailed opossum) is the source of this 936-nucleotide non-coding RNA. The record is from RefSeq and is a predicted model, not a curated record. Lineage: Eukaryota; Metazoa; Chordata; Mammalia; Didelphimorphia; Didelphidae.